This 492-nucleotide ribosomal RNA is filed under the name uncultured bacterium. RNAcentral describes it as "partial 16S ribosomal RNA". It matches the Rfam family "Bacterial small subunit ribosomal RNA", at positions 28 to 507 of the family's 1533-position model. The record is from RNAcentral.
GAUGAACGCUAGCUACAGGCUUAACACAUGCAAGUCGAGGGGAAACGACAUCGAAAGCUUGCUUUUGAUGGGCGUCGACCGGCGCACGGGUGAGUAACGCGUAUCCAACCUGCCCAUCACUUGGGAAUAACCUUGCGAAAGUAAGACUAAUACCCACUGACAUCCCACGAAGACAUCUGAAUGGGAUUAAAGAUUUAUCGGUGAUGGAUGGGGAUGCGUCUGAUUAGCUUGUUGGCGGGGUAACGGCCCACCAAGGCAACGAUCAGUAGGGGUUCUGAGAGGAAGGUACCCCACAUUGGAACUGAGACACGGUCCAAACUCCUACGGGAGGCAGCAGUGAGGAAUAUUGGUCAAUGGGCGAGAGCCUGAACCAGCCAAGUAGCGUGCAGGAGGACGGCCCUAUGGGUGGUAAACUGCUUUUAUAAGGGAAUAAAGUGGGUCUCGUGAGACUUUUUGCAUGUACCUUAUGAAUAAGGACCGGCUAAUUCCGUG